UAAGGGAUAUUGGUCAAUGGGGGGCGGGGAGCCUGAACCAGCCAUGCCGCGUGAGGGAAUGAGGCCCUACGGGUCGUAAACCUCUUUUGCCGGGGGAUAACGGGCGCCACGUGUGGCGCCGUGAAGGUACCCGGAGAAUAAGCCACGGCUAACUACGUGCCAGCAGCCGCGGUAAUACGUAGGUGGCAAGCGUUGUCCGGAUUUACUGGGUGUAAAGGGCGUGUAGCCGGGAGGGCAAGUCAGAUGUGAAAUCCACGGGCUUAACUCGUGAACUGCAUUUGAAACUGUUCUUCUUGAGUAUCGGAGAGGCAAUCGGAAUUCCUAGUGUAGCGGUGAAAUGCGUAGAUAUUAGGAGGAACACCAGUGGCGAAGGCGGAUUGCUGGACGACAACUGACGGUGAGGCGCGAAAGCGUGGGGAGCAAGCAGGAUUAGAUACCCUGGUAGU
Molecule: ribosomal RNA, 446 nt
Filed under: uncultured Oscillibacter sp.
Lineage: Bacteria; Bacillati; Bacillota; Clostridia; Eubacteriales; Oscillospiraceae
Description: bacterial SSU rRNA
Rfam family: Bacterial small subunit ribosomal RNA
Source: RNAcentral